ACGCGCGGAACCUUACCAUCCUUUGACAUGGCGUGUUACCCAGAGAGAUUUGGGGUCCACUUCGGUGGCGCGCACACAGGUGCUGCAUGGCUGUCGUCAGCUCGUGUCGUGAGAUGUUGGGUUAAGUCCCGCAACGAGCGCAACCCACGUCCUUAGUUGCCAUCAUUCAGUUGGGCACUCUAGGGAGACUGCCGGUGAUAAGCCGCGAGGAAGGUGUGGAUGACGUCAAGUCCUCAUGGCCCUUACGGGA
Molecule: ribosomal RNA, 250 nt
Filed under: uncultured bacterium
Lineage: Bacteria
Description: partial 16S ribosomal RNA
Rfam family: Bacterial small subunit ribosomal RNA
Source: RNAcentral